RNAcentral lists this ribosomal RNA (492 nucleotides) under uncultured bacterium. Its description in RNAcentral is "partial 16S ribosomal RNA". It matches the Rfam family "Bacterial small subunit ribosomal RNA", at positions 29 to 507 of the family's 1533-position model. The record is from RNAcentral.
AGUGAACGCUGGCGGUAGGCCUAACACAUGCAAGUCGAACGGCAGCACAGUAAGAGCUUGCUCUUACGGGUGGCGAGUGGCGGACGGGUGAGGAAUACAUCGGAAUCUACUUUUUCGUGGGGGAUAACGUAGGGAAACUUACGCUCAUACCGCAUACGACCUACGGGUGAAAGCAGGGGAUCUUCGGACCUUGCGCGAUUGAAUGAGCCGAUGUCGGAUUAGCUAGUUGGCGGGGUAAAGGCCCACCAAGGCGACGAUCCGUAGCUGGUCUGAGAGGAUGAUCAGCCACACUGGAACUGAGACACGGUCCAGACUCCUACGGGAGGCAGCAGUGGGGAAUAUUGGACAAUGGGCGCAAGCCUGAUCCAGCCAUAACGCGUGGGUGAAGAAGGCCUUCGGGUUGUAAAGCCCUUUUGUUGGGAAAGAAAAGCAGCAGGUUAAUACCCCGCUGUUCUGACGGUACCCAAAGAAUAAGCACCGGCUAACUUCGUG